AUUGAACGCUGGCGGCAUGCUUUACACAUGCAAGUCGAACGGUAACAGGCCUUCGGUUGCUGACGAGUGGCGAACGGGUGAGUAAUGCAUCGGAACGUACCCAGAGGUUGGGGAUAGCGCAGCGAAAGCUGUGCUAAUACCGCAUGUGAGCUGAGGAUGAAAGCGGGGGACCGAGCAGCAAUGUUUGGCCUCGCGCCUUUGUAGCGGCCGAUGUCGGAUUAGCUAGUUGGUGGGGUAAAGGCCUACCAAGGCGACGAUCCGUAGCUGGUCUGAGAGGACGACCAGCCACACUGGGACUGAGACACGGCCCAGACUCCUACGGGAGGCAGCAGUGGGGAAUUUUGGACAAUGGGCGCAAGCCUGAUCCAGCAAUGCCGCGUGAGGGAAGAAGGCCUUCGGGUUGUAAACCGCUUUUGGCAGGAACGAAACGGUGUCCGCUAAUACCGGGCGCUAAUGACGGUACCUGAAGAAUAAGCAACGGCUAACUACGUG
This 492-nucleotide ribosomal RNA is filed under the name uncultured bacterium. RNAcentral's name for it is "partial 16S ribosomal RNA". It matches the Rfam family "Bacterial small subunit ribosomal RNA", at positions 30 to 507 of the family's 1533-position model. The record is from RNAcentral.